RNAcentral lists this ribosomal RNA (165 nucleotides) under uncultured bacterium. RNAcentral's name for it is "partial 16S ribosomal RNA". It matches the Rfam family "Bacterial small subunit ribosomal RNA", at positions 355 to 511 of the family's 1533-position model. The record is from RNAcentral.
UAGGGAAUCUUCCACAAUGGACGAAAGUCUGAUGGAGCAACACCGCGUGAGUGAAGAAGGGUUUCGGCUCGUAAAGCUCUGUUGUUAAAGAAGAACACGUUAUGAGAGUAACUGUUCAUACGUUGACGGUAUUUAACCAGAAAGUCACGGCUAACUACGUGCCCG